CUUCCUUCGGGAAGUGGAUUAGCGGCGGACGGGUGAGUAACACGUGGGUAACCUGCCUCAAAGUGGGGGAUAGCCUUCCGAAAGGAAGAUUAAUACCGCAUAACAUAAGAGAAUCGCAUGAUUUUCUUAUCAAAGAUUUAUUGCUUUGAGAUGGACCCGCGGCGCAUUAGCUAGUUGGUAAGGUAACGGCUUACCAAGGCAACGAUGCGUAGCCGACCUGAGAGGGUGAUCGGCCACAUUGGAACUGAGACACGGUCCAGACUCCUACGGGAGGCAGCAGUGGGGAAUAUUGCGCAAUGGGGGAAACCCUGACGCAGCAACGCCGCGUGGGUGAUGAAGGUCUUCGGAUUGUAAAGCCCUGUUUUCUGGGACGAUAAUGACGGUACCAGAGGAGGAAGCCACGGCUAACUACGUGCCAGCAGCCGCGGUAAUACGUAGGUGGCGAGCGUUGUCCGGAUUUACUGGGCGUAAAGGGUGCGUAGGCGGAUGUUUAAGUGGGAUGUGAAAUCCCCGGGCUUAACCUGGGGGCUGCAUUCCAAACUGGAUAUCUAGAGUGCAGGAGAGGAAAGCGGAAUUCCUAGUGUAGCGGUGAAAUGCGUAGAGAUUAGGAAGAACACCAGUGGCGAAGGCGGCUUUCUGGACUGUAACUGACGCUGAGGCACGAAAGCGUGGGUAGCAAACAGGAUUAGAUACCCUGGUAGUCCACGCCGU
RNAcentral lists this ribosomal RNA (711 nucleotides) under bacterium enrichment culture. RNAcentral describes it as "bacterial SSU rRNA". It matches the Rfam family "Bacterial small subunit ribosomal RNA", at positions 74 to 803 of the family's 1533-position model. The record is from RNAcentral.